GGUUGUAUUUUGAGUCCGUAAUUGAAUCAAAAGUGAAUCAAAACGUGAACAUUCAAAACUACAUCUUGUGGAGUUGUGGAUAAGUUUUACA
Molecule: small RNA, 91 nt
Filed under: Candidatus Pelagibacter sp. HIMB1321
Lineage: Bacteria; Pseudomonadati; Pseudomonadota; Alphaproteobacteria; Candidatus Pelagibacterales; Candidatus Pelagibacteraceae
Description: SAR11_0636 sRNA
Rfam family: SAR11_0636 sRNA
Source: RNAcentral